This 534-nucleotide ribosomal RNA is filed under the name Salmonella enterica. Its description in RNAcentral is "partial 23S ribosomal RNA". Lineage: Bacteria; Pseudomonadati; Pseudomonadota; Gammaproteobacteria; Enterobacterales; Enterobacteriaceae. The record is from RNAcentral.
GUUGGGUAGGGGAGCGUUCUGUAAGCCUGUGAAGGUGGCCUGUGAGGGUUGCUGGAGGUAUCAGAAGUGCGAAUGCUGACAUAAGUAACGAUAAAGCGGGUGAAAAGCCCGCUCGCCGGAAGACCAAGGGUUCCUGUCCAACGUUAAUCGGGGCAGGGUGAGUCGACCCCUAAGGCGAGGCCGAAAGGCGUAGUCGAUGGGAAACGGGUUAAUAUUCCCGUACUUGGUGUUACUGCGAAGGGGGGACGGAGAAGGCUAUGUUGGCCGGGCGACGGUUGUCCCGGUUUAAGCGUGUAGGUGUGUGUUCCAGGUAAAUCCGGUUCACUUUAACACUGAGGCGUGAYGACGAGGCACUACGGUGCUGAAGCAACAAAUGCCCUGCUUCCAGGAAAAGCCUCUAAGCAUCAGGUAACAUCAAAUCGUACCCCAAACCGACACAGGUGGUCAGGUAGAGAAUACCAAGGCGCUUGAGAGAACUCGGGUGAAGGAACUAGGCAAAAUGGUGCCGUAACUUCGGGAGAAGGCACGCUGACA